ACGGAAGGCAGCAGUGGGGAAUAUUGCACAAUGGGGGAAACCCUGAUGCAGCGACGCCGCGUGAGUGAAGAAGUAUUUCGGUAUGUAAAGCUCUAUCAGCAGGAAAGAAAAUGACGGUACCUGACUAAGAAGCCCCGGCUAACUACGUGCCAGCAGCCGCGGUAAUACGUAGGGGGCAAGCGUUAUCCGGAUUUACUGGGUGUAAAGGGAGCGUAGACGGCUUUGCAAGUCUGAAGUGAAAGCCCGGGGCUCAACCCCGGAACUGCUUUGGAAACUGUAGAGCUAGAGUGCAGGAGAGGUAAGUGGAAUUCCUAGUGUAGCGGUGAAAUGCGUAGAUAUUAGGAGGAACACCAGUGGCGAGGGCGGCUUACUGGACUGUAACUGACGUUGAGGCUCGAAGGCGUGGGGAGCAAACAGGAUUAGAUACCCUGGUA
Molecule: ribosomal RNA, 434 nt
Filed under: uncultured Lachnospiraceae bacterium
Lineage: Bacteria; Bacillati; Bacillota; Clostridia; Lachnospirales; Lachnospiraceae
Description: partial 16S ribosomal RNA
Rfam family: Bacterial small subunit ribosomal RNA
Source: RNAcentral